RNAcentral lists this ribosomal RNA (450 nucleotides) under uncultured bacterium. RNAcentral describes it as "partial 16S ribosomal RNA". It matches the Rfam family "Bacterial small subunit ribosomal RNA", at positions 354 to 796 of the family's 1533-position model. The record is from RNAcentral.
GUGGGGAAUAUUGGACAAUGGGCGAAAGCCUGAUCCAGCCAUGCCGCGUGUGUGAAGAAGGUCUUCGGAUUGUAAAGCACUUUAAGUUGGGAGGAAGGGCAGUAAGUUAAUACCUUGCUGUUUUGACGUUACCGACAGAAUAAGCACCGGCUAACUUCGUGCCAGCAGCCGCGGUAAUACGAAGGGUGCAAGCGUUAAUCGGAAUUACUGGGCGUAAAGCGCGCGUAGGUGGUUUUGUAAGUUGGAGGUGAAAUCCCCGGGCUCAACCUGGGAGCUGCCUCCAAAACUGCAUGACUAGAGUAUGGUAGAGGGUGGUGGAAUUUCCUGUGUAGCGGUGAAAUGCGUAGAUAUAGGAAGGAACACCAGUGGCGAAGGCGACUACCUGGACUGAUACUGACACUGAGGUGCGAAAGCGUGGGGAGCAAACAGGAUUAGAUACCCCAGUAGUCC